UGCAAAUUGAUGAAAACAGUC
Molecule: non-coding RNA, 21 nt
Filed under: Caenorhabditis elegans
Lineage: Eukaryota; Metazoa; Nematoda; Chromadorea; Rhabditida; Rhabditidae
Source: RNAcentral